This 253-nucleotide ribosomal RNA is filed under the name uncultured bacterium. Its description in RNAcentral is "partial 16S ribosomal RNA". It matches the Rfam family "Bacterial small subunit ribosomal RNA", at positions 524 to 776 of the family's 1533-position model. The record is from RNAcentral.
UACAGAGGUCCCGAGCGUUGUUCGGAUUCAUUGGGCGUAAAGGGUGCGUAGGUGGGUAGGAAAGUCAGUGGUGAAAUCUUCGGGCUUAACCCGGAAACUGCCAUUGAUACUAUUUAUCUUGAAUACUUUGGAGGUAAGCGGAAUAUGUCAUGUAGCGGUGAAAUGCUUAGAUAUGACAUAGAACACCAAUUGCGAAGGCAGCUUACUACACAGUUAUUGACACUGAGGCACGAAAGCGUGGGGAUCAAACAGG